UACGUAGGGUGCGAGCGUUAAUCGGAAUUACUGGGCGUAAAGCGUGCGCAGGCGGUUGUGUAAGACAGAUGUGAAAUCCCCGGGCUUAACCUGGGAACUGCGUUUGUGACUGCACGACUUGAGUACGGCAGAGGGGGUGGAAUUCCACGUGUAGCAGUGAAAUGCGUAGAGAUGUGGAGGAACACCGAUGGCGAAGGCAGCCCCCUGGGCUAGUACUGACGCUCAUGCACG
This 231-nucleotide ribosomal RNA is filed under the name uncultured bacterium. Its description in RNAcentral is "partial 16S ribosomal RNA". It matches the Rfam family "Bacterial small subunit ribosomal RNA", at positions 524 to 755 of the family's 1533-position model. The record is from RNAcentral.